RNAcentral lists this ribosomal RNA (505 nucleotides) under uncultured bacterium. RNAcentral's name for it is "partial 16S ribosomal RNA". It matches the Rfam family "Bacterial small subunit ribosomal RNA", at positions 28 to 507 of the family's 1533-position model. The record is from RNAcentral.
GACGAACGCUGGCGGCGUGCCUAAUACAUGCAAGUAGAACGCACAGUUUAUACCGUAGCUUGCUACACCAUAGACUGUGAGUUGCGAACGGGUGAGUAACGCGUAGCUAACCUGCCUGGUAGCGGGGGAUAACUAUUGGAAACGAUAGCUAAUACCGCAUAAUAUUGAUUAUUGCAUGAUAAUUGAUUGAAAGAUGCUAUUGCAUCACUACCAGAUGGACCUGCGUUGUAUUAGCUAGUAGGUGAGGUAACGGCUCACCUAGGCGACGAUACAUAGCCGACCUGAGAGGGUGAUCGGCCACACUGGGACUGAGACACGGCCCAGACUCCUACGGGAGGCAGCAGUAGGGAAUCUUCGGCAAUGGACGAAAGUCUGACCGAGCAACGCCGCGGGAGUGAAGAAGGUUUUCGGAUCGUAAAGCUCUGUUGUAAGAGAAGAACGGGUGUGAGAGUGGAAAGUUCACACUGUGACGGUAUCUUACCAGAAAGGGGCGGCUAACUACGUG